This 486-nucleotide long non-coding RNA is filed under the name Sinocyclocheilus anshuiensis. Its description in RNAcentral is "lncRNA (ENSSANG00000026568.1)". Lineage: Eukaryota; Metazoa; Chordata; Actinopteri; Cypriniformes; Cyprinidae. The record is from RNAcentral.
CUAAUAAGCGCGCGAGCGCCGCUGUUUAAACUUCAGCGGUUACGGUGCGCUGACUGCGCUCAGCGUUCGGGAGAACGACGAUUACAUUGAAGCUAAAAAGAAGAAAGGUGGUUUAUCGCGUUGUCCAGGCCUGCGCAAUUCUCCGCCGGGAGAUUUUAUUGGACCUAACGUUAUAUGUAUAGGAAAAGAUGAAACAAAGUUUCGGUCAAAUCACCGUCAGACAGCCGUUAUAAACAUGAAUUCAAACCAAGAAGAACAAAGAGAGAAGCUGAUGGAGAUGUUACAAUUUUUUCUGUGAAUAACUGAGUAUUUGUUGUUUGAGAUGUUCAUCUAUCUCAGAGAGCACUUUUAAAGUUUUACCACCACCUUAUCAGAGUGCUGAAAAGUGGAAGUCAGAGGAAACAUGCCCAACUUGCUGCAAAACAAUAACACAAAAGGUACAUUAUUUCUUUUUCCUCACAGUACCAACUUUGGGGAAACUCAUAA